This 460-nucleotide ribosomal RNA is filed under the name uncultured bacterium. Its description in RNAcentral is "partial 16S ribosomal RNA". It matches the Rfam family "Bacterial small subunit ribosomal RNA", at positions 338 to 795 of the family's 1533-position model. The record is from RNAcentral.
CCUACGGGAGGCUGCAGUGAGGAAUAUUGGUCAAUGGGCGGAAGCCUGAACCAGCCAAGUAGCGUGCAGGAUGACGGCCCUACGGGUUGUAAACUGCUUUUAUACGGGAAUAACGCGCCUUACGUGUAGGGCUUUGCAUGUACCGUAUGAAUAAGGACUGGCUAAUUCCGUGCCAGCAGGCGCGGUAAUAAGGGAGGUCCGGGCGUUAUACGGAUUUAGUGGGGUUUAAGGGAGCGUUGGCCGCAUGGCAAGGGUGCUGUGAAAUGUCCGGGCUCAACCCGGGCCGUGCAGCGCGAACUGGCGUGCUUGAGUCCGCGGAAAGCAGGCGGAAUUCGUCGUGUAGCGGUGAAAUGCUUAGAUAUGACGAAGAACCCCGAUUGCGAAGGCAGCUUGCUGCAGCGGAACUGACGCUGAUGCUCGAAAGCGCGGGUAUCGAACAGGAUUAGAUACCCGGGUAGUC